RNAcentral lists this ribosomal RNA (253 nucleotides) under uncultured bacterium. RNAcentral's name for it is "partial 16S ribosomal RNA". It matches the Rfam family "Bacterial small subunit ribosomal RNA", at positions 524 to 776 of the family's 1533-position model. The record is from RNAcentral.
UACGUAGGGUGCGAGCGUUGUCCGGAAUUAUUGGGCGUAAAGAGCUCGUAGGCGGUCUGUCGCGUCGGAUGUGAAAACUCGGGGCUCAACCCCGAGCCUGCAUUCGAUACGGGCAGACUAGAGUUCGGUAGGGGAGACUGGAAUUCCUGGUGUAGCGGUGAAAUGCGCAGAUAUCAGGAAGAACACCCGUGGCGAAGGCGGCUCUCUGGGACGGUACUGACGCUGAGACGCGAAAGCGUGGGGAGCGAACAGG